This is a long non-coding RNA of Aegilops tauschii subsp. strangulata, 424 nucleotides long. RefSeq lists it as uncharacterized. NCBI's taxonomy places the organism in Eukaryota, Viridiplantae, Streptophyta, Magnoliopsida, Poales, Poaceae. The record is from RefSeq and is a predicted model, not a curated record.
AAAACGAUAAGAACAACUUUGUGUAAGAUUCUGUACUCCCAAACAGAGAGGAGAAGAACUUUGUGUAAGAUUCUGUCUACUCUAAUGGAAGGGAAAGCUAUUCUUCUUUGCCUCGUGGUGAUUUUGCAGCUUGGGAAUUCCAUUCAUGUUGAGCAAUGCUUUAGUGGAGUUGUAUUUGGAGGUCAUGUAUGCACGGAAUCACAAUGUCGGUCCUCCUGCCAACAAAAAUGGGGAAACGAAGUCGUGAACUCUUUCUGUAGGGUAGACAUCCCAGACUUUUUCCAUUGUUACUGCAUUGUCUGUGACUCCUAGCUUUGCACUAGGGCAUGAUGUCCAAGCGUGGAUAAUGAUAGGUCCAGUAAUAAAUCAUCUUGUGACAUGCAUGCAAGAUCCCAUAAUGGAAAAUUCUAGGUGUUCUAUUUGA